This 286-nucleotide ribosomal RNA is filed under the name gamma proteobacterium October_NA3C1. RNAcentral describes it as "partial 16S ribosomal RNA". It matches the Rfam family "Bacterial small subunit ribosomal RNA", at positions 1086 to 1372 of the family's 1533-position model. Lineage: Bacteria; Pseudomonadati; Pseudomonadota; Gammaproteobacteria. The record is from RNAcentral.
CCCGCAACGAGCGCAACCCUUAUCCUUUGUUGCCAGCGAUUCGGUCGGGAACUCAAAGGAGACUGCCGGUGAUAAACCGGAGGAAGGUGGGGAUGACGUCAAGUCAUCAUGGCCCUUACGGCCAGGGCUACACACGUGCUACAAUGGCGUAUACAAAGAGAAGCGAACUCGCGAGAGCAAGCGGACCUCAUAAAGUACGUCGUAGUCCGGAUCGGAGUCUGCAACUCGACUCCGUGAAGUCGGAAUCGCUAGUAAUCGUGGAUCAGAAUGCCACGGUGAAUACGUU